This 483-nucleotide ribosomal RNA is filed under the name uncultured bacterium. Its description in RNAcentral is "partial 16S ribosomal RNA". It matches the Rfam family "Bacterial small subunit ribosomal RNA", at positions 28 to 507 of the family's 1533-position model. The record is from RNAcentral.
GACGAACGCUGGCGGCGUGCUUAACACAUGCAAGUCGAACGCUGAAGCUCAGCUUUUGUUGGGUGGAUGAGUGGCGAACGGGUGAGUAACACGUGAGUAACCUGCCUCCUUCUUUGGGAUAACGCCCGGAAACGGGUGCUAAUACUGGAUAUUCACUGGUCUUCGCAUGGGGGUUGGUGGAAAGGGUUUUUCUGGUGGGGGAUGGGCUCGCGGCCUAUCAGCUUGUUGGUGGGGUGAUGGCCUACCAAGGCUUUGACGGGUAGCCGGCCUGAGAGGGUGACCGGUCACAUUGGGACUGAGAUACGGCCCAGACUACUACGGGAGGCAGCAGUGGGGAAUAUUGCACAAUGGGCGCAAGUCUGAUGCAGCGACGCCGCGUGAGGGAUGGAGGCCUUCGGGUUGUGAACCUCUUUCGCUCAUGGUCAAGCCGCAACAAUGGUUGUGGUGAGGGUAGUGGGUAAAGAAGCGCCGGCUAACUACGUG